This is a long non-coding RNA of Alnus glutinosa, 522 nucleotides long. RefSeq lists it as uncharacterized. Lineage: Eukaryota; Viridiplantae; Streptophyta; Magnoliopsida; Fagales; Betulaceae. The transcript is spliced from 4 exons. The record is from RefSeq and is a predicted model, not a curated record.
AGAAGAAGAAGAGAGGAGGAGAGUUCUUAAGGGUUUUCCAAAUCUACGAAGAUCUAAGUCCCCCAAUCUCAAAGUUAACUUCGAAAACGUGAUCUACACGUGUGGAUCUACGUUUUGACCAAUUGUUUUGAGGUAUUUGGCUACUAGGAGCUUGCUUGAGGCUACCUAAACCUCGGAUUUUGGUUUGGUAAACUUUGGUGGCGCUUUGUGAGUUGCACUUUGAGCCAUUCGAAUUGGUAUGCGAACGGCCUAAGAUGGAGCUUCUUUGGAUGCAGGUACUGAUGAUACGAAGGAUGACUCCGUUGCACACUAUGUGGAGUACUACGACUAAGCACGUCGCUUGAGUCGUAAGGGUGUUGGACCCGGAUGGUCCAUUUUUGUAUAUUUUGUAUAUGGCUAGUGUGACUUGUAACACGUAGAUAUAGUCAUUCUUUUGUAUGCAUAAUUUAUGCUUAAGCCUUAAACAGAUAGACACUAAUUGGCUCUUUUGUGUAAUGGACAGUUUAUAAUUAUGAUGUUGAC